Long non-coding RNA from Brassica oleracea var. oleracea, 518 nucleotides. RefSeq lists it as uncharacterized. NCBI's taxonomy places the organism in Eukaryota, Viridiplantae, Streptophyta, Magnoliopsida, Brassicales, Brassicaceae. The record is from RefSeq and is a predicted model, not a curated record. The transcript is spliced from 3 exons.
UAACAUCUCAUUGAAUGAGAAACAGUAUCGCCGGUGCAGAAGAUUUGGAAGAUAUUUUAUGAUUCACUUCAUUGCUAAUUAACUGUUUUUAGCAGUAUGCGUUUAAAUAACUAACUCCGUAUUUUCCAAUGGUCUUACUUGAUUGUCUCCACUGGGAUCAGUAGGCUUAUGCUACUGUCUAUAUACUACAGAUUCUAACGACAUGAUAUCUUCACAGCCAAAAACGGGGAAGAUGAACGUGGCGACUUGAAGCCAGCCUUUAUCGCUGCGGGUGGAAACUAAAUCCUAGAAGGUGCUCGCAGGUUGAAGCAAAAGAAGUUUUCUUUUCUGUUACAAAGCUUCCCCAAUCUAAAUGGUUUGGGAGAAGAAGGUUUACUUGAUCAUAAAGGAAUUUUCUCUACCAGAUGAUAAGAAAAAGAAGAGAAAGAAGAAAAGCUUACAAGGAGUACAGAUAUUAAGGGUGGUUAAAAAGAUAAAGCACUGCAAGAAAUGAACGGCAAGAGAAGCAUUUUGAAGUG